GGAGAACGUACAAAAUGAGGCCAUAAUAACUCAAGCUGCCUCCAAGGUCUGAAGACUGAUUGAGUUAUAUUUUACAUGUCCGAAAGAGCAUCAUGACUAACAUCCUGCUUCAUAAGAUUUUCAUGUCCAACACAUCUUGCCAUUAACCCCGUCUUCCAUAUUGCACAUUGUUGUCAGCACAAACACUCUGAUAUUCCUCAGGGAGUUCCUC
This 211-nucleotide unclassified non-coding RNA is filed under the name Hevea brasiliensis (rubber tree). Lineage: Eukaryota; Viridiplantae; Streptophyta; Magnoliopsida; Malpighiales; Euphorbiaceae. The record is from RNAcentral.